RNAcentral lists this ribosomal RNA (256 nucleotides) under Campylobacter lari. Its description in RNAcentral is "partial 16S rRNA". It matches the Rfam family "Bacterial small subunit ribosomal RNA", at positions 29 to 282 of the family's 1533-position model. The record is from RNAcentral. Lineage: Bacteria; Pseudomonadati; Campylobacterota; Epsilonproteobacteria; Campylobacterales; Campylobacteraceae.
AGUGAACGCUGGCGGCGUGCCUAAUACAUGCAAGUCGAACGAUGAAGCAACUAGCUUGCUAGUUGUGGAUUAGUGGCGCACGGGUGAGUAAGGUAUAGUUAAUCUGCCCUACACAAGAGGACAACAGUUGGAAACGGCUGCUAAUACUCUAUACUCCUGCUUAACACAAGUUGAGUAGGGAAAGUUUUUCGGUGUAGGAUGAGACUAUAUAGUAUCAGCUAGUUGGUGAGGUAAUGGCUCACCAAGGCUAUGACGC